UCUGGGUGAUUAACCGAUGUGCCCAAGCCGU
RNAcentral lists this non-coding RNA (31 nucleotides) under Mus musculus (house mouse). The record is from RNAcentral. Lineage: Eukaryota; Metazoa; Chordata; Mammalia; Rodentia; Muridae.